AUCGACGGGGAGGUUUGGCACCUCGAUGUCGGCUCAUCGCAUCCUGGGGCUGUAGUCGGUCCCAAGGGUUGGGCUGUUCGCCCAUUAAAGCGGUACGCGAGCUGGGUUCAGAACGUCGUGAGACAGUUCGGUCCCUAUCCGUCGCGGGCGCAGGAAAUUUGAGAGGAGCUGUCCUUAGUACGAGAGGACCGGGAUGGACGCACCGCUGGUGUACCAGUUGUUCUGCCAAGGGCAUCGCUGGGUAGCUAUGUGCGGACGGGAUAAGUGCUGAAAGCAUCUAAGCAUGAAGCCCCCCUCAAGAUGAGAUUUCCCAUUCCGCAAGGAAGUAAGAUCCCUGAAAGAUGAUCAGGUUGAUAGGUCUGAGGUGGAAGCGUGGUGACACGUGGAGCUGACAGAUACUAAUAGAUCGAGGACUUAACCUAU
Molecule: ribosomal RNA, 423 nt
Filed under: Bacillus pumilus
Lineage: Bacteria; Bacillati; Bacillota; Bacilli; Caryophanales; Bacillaceae
Description: partial 23S ribosomal RNA
Rfam family: Bacterial large subunit ribosomal RNA
Source: RNAcentral